UCUUCUUUUUGCACGCUCUUUCAUCGGUCAGAGAGGCGAGAGAGUGUGCGAAAUGAGGAGA
This 61-nucleotide microRNA precursor is filed under the name Pristionchus pacificus. RNAcentral describes it as "mir-8364 microRNA precursor family". It matches the Rfam family "mir-8364 microRNA precursor family". Lineage: Eukaryota; Metazoa; Nematoda; Chromadorea; Rhabditida; Neodiplogasteridae. The record is from Rfam by way of RNAcentral.